Molecule: non-coding RNA, 738 nt
Organism: Paramuricea clavata
Lineage: Eukaryota; Metazoa; Cnidaria; Anthozoa; Malacalcyonacea; Plexauridae
Source: the annotation of a GenBank genome assembly
UGCUUACUGAAACAUUUAAACAAGUCUUUCACUUUGAAGUUUGAACUUUGAACUAAACCCAAAAUAUUUACAAAUAUCAAUAUAUUUGACAACACGCUAAACUUGCGAAGUAUAUCGGAAUAUUCAACAACGUUACAAUAACGGUGAGUGAAGUAGCGAAGAAUACAGACUGCGAACGCUACAGAUUAUGAGAUGAUCUGGCCUGCUCGCAGCCUAGAGAUCAUCAAACUGCGUGAAAAUACAAACAGAACUUGGACAUUUCGAUCAUACGAAGGGGCUUCGCUCUUUGAAACGUCGAAGUUUCUGUGAUUUUCAGGCAGUACAUAUCAUCUACAGUUCUCACAAUAUUCAACUUAUUUCAACAUGAUGAGGAUUUGCAGACUUUCAGUGACAAGUGCAAUUGUGGUACUUUAAAUUGACACUUCAAUAUAUUUAGAGCGUCUUUUAAUAUCUAUUUUAGUUGUUCUAAUUUGGGGGAUUUUCCGCUUACCAUUUCCAUAUUUAAUCGUAAGUAGCUUAAUUCAUCCAGAUUUGUUAUUAAAUAUCACCUUUUUAUAUCAAGUACAUUCAUAUUACAAGUAUACUUACUUGUUUGUAAUUGCUUUGUAGCUUCUGGCUUGCGGGCUUCUUGUUUGCGAAGUGAAGUUAAAUUACCACUCAAAUUAACAGUAAAGUGAGUGAACGGCUGCUAUAUUAAAAGAGCUGUUACAUGUAUUUUAUCAACAUGGUAAGUUCUAG